GUAGUACUCAAAUGGGAUUAGUGUCAGAGUUGAUGAUGAAAAUAUUAUGUACCGUUGUAUCAUAUCUAAAUACAUGGAACAAUAUUGUUGCAAUUACUUUUGUUUCCUAACAAUGGAAUAGCUGCAGGCAACGAAGUAAGAAUCAUUCGAGCCUUUCGAAUGGACUUGUGACACAAGUGGCGCUUGUCGCACUCAUUUUGGCACAAAAGAUACCACCUUUUUUUUUUUUCUCAAACAUGGUGGUACCUGUUCCCUUACACCAUUGCCGUAUAGCUCAUGCAAAAUCUACCGCUUCAUCCACUUCUAUUUGCUUACUAAACAUUACGGACUAAUAUCUGCUUUAAACAUUGCAAGUCUUCAUAAUUUCUUUGCUAAUUAUUCAUUUUAUUUGGAUCUGUCAAGGCUUGAACGAGAUAUGAGGGACUUAUAUAAGUAUGGAUGUGUGAAUAAUUUCUCUUCAAAAAACUAUCACCGGUCUACCUUUAUUAUGAAGUUAGAGACUUUAGCAUUUUGCACCUAUGAUUAACUUUUCCGUCUCAUUUGUCACGCCAACGAAAGUCGCCAGGCCUGAUGGAGCUGGAGCUUGGUAGUUAAAUCAGGCAUCUAGAAAUAAAUUUUUCUUGACAUAAUUCGCAAGCAGUCGGAUACGGCUUGCCGACUUUACCCCAAUUUGCAUGUAAACAUUCAACACGACGAGGACCGAUAAGAUUUUCCCAGCGAACGGCGGCGCACGGCAAAUACGGCCGAGUUUGUCUAAAGAUUAUGUCUCAAGGUCUUGUAAGAAUACGAAGAUUCAAUCAGGGAUCUCGAAGUAAGUUUCCCAAGGUUGCAACGUGGUGACUUCAUCAUCUCUGUUCCACAGGAGCCCGGAGGACGGUGGGCCUCCGUCUCGACCAUCCGAAUCCAUGGCCAACCACCAUGAGCUCCCUCGAAUCGAAGCAGUUUCCGAGGGCACAAUCCGCUCCUCUCCUUCUUUCCAACCCCCAUAUCUUUCCCAAGGAGCAGCAACAAAGAGAGGGUUCAAGGAAGAAGAUCAAGUAUGGGCCUCCUCCUCCUGUUCCUCUUUUCUCGUGGAGCCAUUCCCUCUCGUUCCCUCCCUCUUUUCUUCGGUCAGGAGAGAAAGAAAGAAAAUUCUGGCGCUGCUAGAGACGGUGGAGGGUUUUCCGUGCUCCCUACUGGAGAAAAUGGCGCCAGGUCGGAAUCCAGCGGUGGCGUUGGGGAUAUUUUCGCGGGGCACUGGUUAGGUAAGAUCUCUCUUUCUGCCUUCCGUCUUUCUCUUAUUUCUUCUUCCUAUAAAUUUUAUUUUGGUUCUUGCCAAAACCAUCCAGCGUCAUCAGGGAUAGCUCUGUCCGAAUGAGAACGAUUGGAGUAGGUCUUCCCUCAUAUUUUAAUACAAUUUGAGGUUAAAAUUUAGGUAGUGUUUUGCCUUGCAACUUCACUUUUUUAAAAGAUUGGUCGUCCCUAUGUAAUAACAAAGCCUUAUUGGCUUUCGGAGAAGUGUGCCACCGUUUUACCAAAACAAAGAAAAAUAAAGGACAGGAAAGUUUUCUUUUUCUUUUUUAAAAAGGGGAAUAUAAUUAUGAUACAAUAUGUAUGCAGUGAAGAGAAAUUCUUAGAGGCUGAAAAUUUCAACAUCUUGGUUGCAGAAGGCUCAAAGUUUGCGAAUAGGAACUUUUUCUCAA
This 1682-nucleotide long non-coding RNA is filed under the name Elaeis guineensis (African oil palm). RNAcentral's name for it is "long non-coding RNA (EGUI_LNC006215)". The record is from RNAcentral. Lineage: Eukaryota; Viridiplantae; Streptophyta; Magnoliopsida; Arecales; Arecaceae.